Molecule: long non-coding RNA, 4034 nt
Organism: Quercus robur (English oak)
Lineage: Eukaryota; Viridiplantae; Streptophyta; Magnoliopsida; Fagales; Fagaceae
Exons: 6
Source: RefSeq, a predicted model, not a curated record
ACAAAACCCAAUACAAAAACGCAAACUCAACAGAGUAAACUCAAUACGAAACCUAUUUCAACCCCUAAACAAAAUCUCUAUCUCCUUCAAACGCUAUCUCCAUCUCUCUGUCUCUGUCUCUCCUUCAAACGCAAAUUCAACCCCUAAACAAAUCUCUAUCUCCUUCAAACGCAAAUUCAACCCCUAAACAAAUCUCUAUCUCCUUCAAACGCUGUCUCUGUCUCUCUUCCCCUGCAACGGUAAACGAAUUCAACUAAGCUACAAACGCUUUGCCUCACAACCAACGGCUACAGGGCAGCCAAGUAGAUGAAUUUACAGGACAAGUCUGGAACUUUGGUAGAAGAAAGGGUGGUGAAAAUGGACAAAUAUAGCCAAGGCUUUGUGGUUGAGUUUCUAUUUCCUUUGAUAAUUUUGAGAAGCUGCCAAGGCUUUUUUAUUUAUAGCUCCUGACAGCGAUGAUAUCUCCACAGCUAUACAGUUCAUCAAUAAGGCAAGGCCAUGGAUUACAUUGAUGGUCAUUGGCUGGGAAUAUGGUGCAAACAUGUUGACGAAGUACUUGGCAGAAGCUGGAGAGAAUACAUUGCUUACAGUUGCCAUGUGCAUAGACAAUCCAUUUGACUUAGAGGAGGCUACAAGGUCCUUUCCUUAUCACAUGGCCAUUGGUCAGAAGUUCACUGUUGGACUGAUAGAUAUUCUAAGAUCUAAUAAGGAAACCCCCAAAUCAAAAACCAUAGCCCCUUCCUAUCAAAAAAGAAAAAAAGAAGAAGAAGAAGGAAAACAAUAGCUUCUCAUCCGUUUCUCUCUCCAGUCUCUAUGCUUCGCCUUUAGUGCACCUUCUCCUUUGUCUCUGCUCCUAAUGAUGGAAAGCGAUUAAAAAAUUGGGAUUGAAGGGAGCAAAAUCAAGAUGCCGUGGACGUCCUCUUUUGAUUCAAAUUCAUAAAAGCUUCCUUACUCUCUUUCUCUCUCCAUGUGGCGUGAGGUCAAAUAUUUGCUUUCUCUGUUCUAAAUAACAAUUUAUAGAACUCAAUGUUUUAUGUUAAAUAAAUAUAUGAUGUACUCUUCUAUAUAAUGCAGAUUUGUUAUAUUAUGUUCUUUCUCUACUCUUUUUGAGUCAUAGCAAAAGAAUUUGACAUUAGUAACUAUAUUCUAUUUAUUUAUUAUGAAAAUAAGAUUGUGAUCAUUAUUGCAAUUUUUUUAUUUGUUUAUUCAUAGAAUAUAUGUAACUAUGAAAAUAUCUUCAUUGCCAAUGGAUCUAUGGUAGUGGUAUUAAUCUUUUCGGCAUGUAUGUAUUUUUAUGGAGCUAAUAUACCGGAUUUCUUUUAUUGGGCACAAGCAUAUUGUGUACUAGGUUUGACAAUGUUUAAUAUUUGAAUUAUUGAAGAUUUUAUGUUAUGCUUGGCUCUUUGCCAUUUAUUUGUAUUAUUUGAUUAGUGAGUCUUGAGACAUUCUGAUUUAGUCCAGCAAAUGAUAAUUGCAAUAUUGUUUUUUUCUUUUUAAACAAUUCCGUGCAUCGCACGGGUUAGCGACUAGUUAGUAAUAUAACCAUCCAUAAUAUAUUAUGGUAUGCUAAAUUGGGAAUGUUGUGAGUUUUUGGUGUCCAUAACAUUACUUGACAUGGAAGCCUGUAUGGAUUUCAUGAAUUGGCUUGACCUGGACAUGUCAAUGAAGGACCCAUCUGAUCUUGCCCGUGUUAGUUCUAUGUCACGGUCUUGUACUCUAGCCCAAUAAGAAGAAGACAGGUCAUUAAAAAUUUGAUGACAUAAGUUUGUUGCCAUGUCACCCCACCACAGCCUACUACUCUAACGUCCCUUUAACCCCGUCAGUUCUAACUUUUGAGAUCAGGACUCAAAAUUUUCCUUUUUGAGAGAAAGUUCAAAUUUCAGAUGUGAAUGGGUGGGCGGGAACUGAAAUUUUUGCACCUGAAACCUUUCCAAAUUUUGUUUUAUGAAGUAAUCACAAUAGACAAUAUCAAAGAUUCAAAAUGUCUUCCAUGGGUCGUGGGUCAUUUUCCCCCACGCCAAAGAAAUUGUUUUCCUGUCGAAUUUGGGUCAUCGUCUCCAUUCUCCAACUUCCCACUCGGCAGCAAUGGAGACUUCAGCACUGCCCUGCUCAUUACCGCAAGCCUCCUCCAUGUUUCCUCCCCCUGCAAUCCCUCGCCUCCGCAUCAUAGAUAGACAAAUGCUUUGAUGAGAAAUCCAAUUAUCCAAACGUUUUAGAUUUGAGAGGUAUGUUGUUCCUCCAACAAGGAUGAUAUUGCUUGCUCCAAGAUUCAAGCAAUGAAUGGGAUUUUAUUGUAUUAGGUUUAGUAUUAAGUUGGUGAAGAAUCGAGCAUGUAUUGGAUGAACAAGUGGAUUUUGAGAGUGUCUCGCAAGAAGACUACCCACGAAAGAGCCAUGUGAGAAGCACAUGCUGGAAGCUGAAGGGUCGUGCCAGGCUGUCAGUUUCACAAGCGUCUCUCAAAAAUGGCCAACCCAUGAGAUACCUGCGAAACUCUCUACCUGGAAGAUUUUUUUUAGUGUGAUUUUCUUAUCCUUCACUCAUACUAUAUAUCCCCUCAUUACCCACAAAAGUAUAAGAAGUUAUUCAGAGAGAAAAACUCUAGAUAGGUUUUCUACAACACAACACACCCAUCUUUUAGAGAGAGAGCUACUCAUCCUUAGUGAGAAAUCCUUGUAGCCUCUUCUCUUUCCUUCUCCCAUUAUCAUAUCUUGAGAGGAGAUUUGUACCCAAACACAACCCACACCUUUUUAGAGUAUAGAGAGUGUUUUGGAGCUUGGGAAGUUUUGGGAAUUUGCCAAAAGAAGCCGAUGAGGCUUGGCAGAUGCAAUCGAGCGUAUUGCGGGAUCCAGAAAGCUAGAGAAGACAUAACUUCGAGAAGUCCGUUGGUAGCAAGAGUUUGGAGGACUCAAGUACAUCAGGUAAACUAGGCUUGGAGGGUCUUUUGUUAUUCGUGCACUUAACUUUUUUCAUUAAUGGAUCGAUUUUGACUUGGAGGGUCGCGGAGAGAUUUUUCUCCGAGUUCUUCAGUUUCCUUUUCGAUAACACAUCUCAGUGUUAUUUUGUAUUUGCAUCUCUCUUCCCUACUUUUAAGCUUUACUUUAUAUCAUUGAUAAUGGAUAAAUAUGGCUUAGGGUAGUGUUAUCGGUUGUUUGCGCUCAUUUACUCUUUUUCCGCACUUAAUUUAAAUUAAAGUAAAAGUACUUUAGCUGAAAUUUUAAUUUGGGGGUCUAAACAAGCUCUUGUGUUUUCACACAAAUUCGAGCUUUCAACUUGUAAUGUUUAUUAAUAACUAUAAAUUUCAAUAAUGCUAUUUUGUAUUAAUCGUGUGAUAUAUAUAUUCAUACAUUAUUUAGUAUUGAUAUUCUAUCAUCGUGCAAAAGAAGUUUAGACUUUAGAGAAGCAAAAUAGUAGAGGUGGAGAGAAAGGUCUCAAAACUACAAAAAUCCAAAAGGAAAUUUCAAUGGAUAGCUGAAAAAUAUGUCUGAUGAUGCUUUGGCCAAAAUAGGCAAAUAUCCCAUUCACACAAAAAAAUCAAGCAAAAUGCCUCAUGUCUGAAACUAAUUAGGAAAAUUCCCUUGUUUAGAAAAUCGAGUUUCAAAUGUAAAACUCAAUUUUUGGAAUAUCGAGUAACGUGGACUUAGGAAAUUUUUUUUUUUUCUUUUUGGAACUUGAGUUCCAAUUUUUUUUUUUUUUUUAAUUUUCAGUUUGCUAUAACUCAAUUGUCCAAAAAUCGAGUUUCAAAACAGAGGCAUUUCCUUAAUUAGUUCGAGAAAGAGGACAUUUGCUAGAUUUUUUGUGUGAAAGGGGCAUUUGCCCAUUUUGGCCAUGAUGCUUUCAUUUGUGGAAAUAAUUAUACUUUCUACAUUGAAGCCUUGUCGCCUAGCUUUCUUUUAGGAGUCCAUUGUUUUACUUUUUGGUUUUCAUCUACCAAAGUGAAUUUGUUUUUAGACAGCUUUAGUUUGAAAGAAACUACUUUUUGUACUAACAGACUAAUUCAAAUUUUAGUUGGAGCCCAUGGAAAGUUAUGGUGUCAA